Molecule: long non-coding RNA, 103 nt
Organism: Melanotaenia boesemani (Boeseman's rainbowfish)
Lineage: Eukaryota; Metazoa; Chordata; Actinopteri; Atheriniformes; Melanotaeniidae
Exons: 3
Source: RefSeq, a predicted model, not a curated record
AGUCAACUUCAGUCAUCAACUUUUUAUUGAUUACAAGACAUGUAUUUUCUAUGCAGCAUCACCUUGAGUGGUUACUUAUUCAUCAGAUCACAGACUAAUGAUG